AAAAGUCUUAAGACAGCGCUGGACAGUUUAAAGCUACAUAUGACACAGACUAUUAUUAUAAUGUUGGCUUUGACAGCCCAAUGAAGCUUUUGAACAGACACAAUGAGGUUUGGUUUAUUCCUAAGGGUGAGCCUGUGUGUCCUUAGAGUGAAUCAUUUCUCUGAGGCUCCUCUCUAGCAAGAGCAACAGAGAACAGAUCUGUAUAACUCCUGAGUGCUACAGUCCUAACAAGCUAGAUACAAGUACUUUGUCCUGUAUAGGAUUUUGUACUAUAAAUACAAUUUGAAUGGAGAACGUUUAAAAAAAUGAUGCCAUUUGUCUAAGGAAAAGGUCAAAUGCUUAAAAAAAUGAUGCUAUUUAUCGAAGGAAAAGGUCAAACUCGAAAGAGUGGUAUUUUUUUCUAUACGCAUUUUAUAUGUUUUAACAAAUAAAAUAGAAACAUCAUUGUAAACA
Molecule: non-coding RNA, 453 nt
Organism: Pimephales promelas (fathead minnow)
Lineage: Eukaryota; Metazoa; Chordata; Actinopteri; Cypriniformes; Leuciscidae
Source: RefSeq, a predicted model, not a curated record